Molecule: ribosomal RNA, 909 nt
Filed under: Calonarius sulfurinus
Lineage: Eukaryota; Fungi; Basidiomycota; Agaricomycetes; Agaricales; Cortinariaceae
Description: eukaryotic LSU rRNA
Rfam family: Eukaryotic large subunit ribosomal RNA
Source: RNAcentral
AGGAUUCCCCUAGUAACUGCGAGUGAAGCGGGAAAAGCUCAAAUUUAAAAUCUGGCAGUCUUUGGCUGUCCGAGUUGUAAUCUAGAGAAGCAUUAUCCGCGCUGGACCGUGUACAAGUCUCCUGGAAUGGAGCGUCAUAGAGGGUGAGAAUCCCGUCUUUGACACGGACUGCCAGGGCUUUUGUGAUGUGCUCUCAAAGAGUCGAGUUGUUUGGGAAUGCAGCUCAAAAUGGGUGGUAAAUUCCAUCUAAAGCUAAAUAUUGGCGAGAGACCGAUAGCGAACAAGUACCGUGAGGGAAAGAUGAAAAGAACUUUGGAAAGAGAGUUAAACAGUACGUGAAAUUGCUGAAAGGGAAACGCUUGAAGUCAGUCGCGUUGUCCAGGGAUCAACUCUUGCUUUUGCUUGGUGUACUUCCUGGUUAACGGGUCAGCAUCAAUUUUGACUAUUGGAAAAAGAUCAAGGGAAUGUGGCAUCUUUAGAUGUGUUAUAGCCCUUGGUUGCAUACAUUAGUUGGGAUUGAGGAACUCAGCACGCCGAAAGGCCGAGUGUUUAACUACGUACGUGCUUAGGAUGCUGGCAAAAUGGCUUUAAUCGACCCGUCUUGAAACACGGACCAAGGAGUCUAACAUGCCUGCGAGUGUUUGGGUGGAAAACCCGAGCGCGCAAUGAAAGUGAAAGUUGAGAUCCCUGUCGUGGGGAGCAUCGACGCCCGGACUUGACCUUUUGUGACGGUUCCGCGGUAGAGCAUGUAUGUUGGGACCCGAAAGAUGGUGAACUAUGCCUGAAUAGGGUGAAGCCAGAGGAAACUCUGGUGGAGGCUCGUAGCGAUUCUGACGUGCAAAUCGAUCGUCAAAUUUGGGUAUAGGGGCGAAAGACUAAUCGAACCAUCUAGUAGCUGGUUCCUGCCGA